Molecule: small nucleolar RNA, 107 nt
Filed under: Corchorus capsularis
Lineage: Eukaryota; Viridiplantae; Streptophyta; Magnoliopsida; Malvales; Malvaceae
Description: Plant small nucleolar RNA R71
Rfam family: Plant small nucleolar RNA R71
About the family: R71 is a member of the C/D box family of snoRNAs containing the C (UGAUGA) and D (CUGA) box motifs. Multiple nearly identical copies of this snoRNA have been identified in Arabidopsis, and it is thought to function as a 2'-O-ribose methylation guide for 18S ribosomal RNA.
Source: Rfam by way of RNAcentral
AUGGCAUGUUGAGGACAAUCGGCGCAAAGUUUCUUGAAUCUCUCCUAAGCUAGCUAAAAAUUCUCAUCCUUUCGUUGUCGAAAUCUUGUAAUCCUUUGCCUACCCCU